This 1235-nucleotide long non-coding RNA is filed under the name Felis catus (domestic cat). RNAcentral describes it as "lncRNA (ENSFCAG00000052113.1)". Lineage: Eukaryota; Metazoa; Chordata; Mammalia; Carnivora; Felidae. The record is from RNAcentral.
GGAAAAUUAAGUCAUUUCCUGACUUAUUCCUACCAAAUUCACCUGGCUCAGCGACCGACAGUCCUGCAGGGAAUACCCUUGGCAGCCGUGAACUUCCACGUUCCUGGUCCCGCAGCGUCCUAGCGGAACCCCGUUCACAGCCGGGGCUCGCGACUUUCCGAGAUUUCUCCUCCACGCUUUUGUCUGGAGUCUAGAGACACAUCCCCUAAAGGGCAUGGUGUGCUCCCAGCUACCCAGACUCCGGCGAGGCCACAGUGGCCGGGAAGUAGAAGGCUUCAGGUGUAUUUGUCAGCCAAGAUCUUCAAAGUCCGGCCGUGAGUGGCGCCAAUAGCCUCCGACAGCCUGUGUUGCCCAAGGGACGUGCGUGGGCGUCCCGUUUAGUCACCACACUUGCUUGUCCUCUAUUUCCCAGCAAGCCCCACGCCUUGCCGCUGCUGCCUCUUUAAUCUCUUCUCCCUUGGGGCCUGUCGCCACCUGUCAUGUGCUUUGCCGCCAUCACCCCCCCCCCCGCCCCCCUGCCCCAGGAGCCACGUCCCUGCCACCACGUCGUCUGUCGGCCAGCUCUCUCUCCUCUCCUGGAGACCUUCCCUGGCUAAUGGUUACUCCUUUCCCCCCAUCUACCCUCCCCAGAGCCCUUUCCAGGCCCUGUCCUGGGCCCCUGCGGCGGCCUGUCUCUCCCCUUGGUGGCCCUCUGUCAGGCUGAAGUCACUUGCCAAUCCACACUGUCUUCCAGAGGCUACACGGCCUGACCCCAUCCCCCUCAGUCCUGCACUCCCAGCCCCUAAUGCGGGCACGAGGUACAAAUGGAGUCCUACAACAUGACAGCCAUGACCAAUUCCAAGAACACCGCUUUGUGCUGAGACGCCGAAUGAUGCAGAGCAGAAUGAUGCACUAAAAACGACCAAAUACGGACCUCCCGGCUUAUCCACACAGCUGACUUUUCCAGAACACCCUGCAUGGCUUUCGAGUGGAAGAUCAGGAAAUGAGACAAAUCUUAAUCUCAAAACUGGAUGGGGGCGCUCGGUCGGUUAAGUGGGUGACUCUUGGUUUCCGCUCAGGUCAUGAUCUCACAGUUUGGUGAGUUUCAGCCCCGCGUCAGGCUCCACGCCGGCGGAGACCGUGAGGAGCCUGCUUGGGAUUCCCUUCCUCUCCCUGUCUUUCUGCCCCUCCCCCACUUGCACUGUCUCGGUCGCUCUUACAAUAAAUAAACAAACUUAAAAAAAAAGAACUGGAUG